GAUGAACGCUGGCGGCGUGCCUAAUACAUGCAAGUCGAGCGAACAGAUAAGGAGCUUGCUCCUUUGACGUUAGCGGCGGACGGGUGAGUAACACGUGGAUAACCUACCUAUAAGACUGGGAUAACUUCGGGAAACCGGAGCUAAUACCGGAUAACAUAUUGAACCGCAUGGUUCAAUAGUGAAAGGCGGCUUUGCUGUCACUUAUAGAUGGAUCCGCGCCGUAUUGGCUAGUUGGUAAGGUAACGGCUUACCAAGGCAACGAUACGUAGCCGACCUGAGAGGGUGAUCGGCCACACUGGAACUGAGACACGGUCCAGACUCCUACGGGAGGCAGCAGUAGGGAAUCUUCCGCAAUGGGCGAAAGCCUGACGGAGCAACGCCGCGUGAGUGAUGAAGGUCUUCGGAUCGUAAAACUCUGUUAUCAGGGAAGAACAAAUGUGUAAGUAACUGUGCACAUCUUGACGGUACCUGAUCAGAAAGCCACGGCUAACUACGUG
Molecule: ribosomal RNA, 497 nt
Filed under: uncultured bacterium
Lineage: Bacteria
Description: partial 16S ribosomal RNA
Rfam family: Bacterial small subunit ribosomal RNA
Source: RNAcentral